Long non-coding RNA from Cucumis melo (muskmelon), 1153 nucleotides. RefSeq lists it as uncharacterized. The transcript is spliced from 4 exons. The record is from RefSeq and is a predicted model, not a curated record. NCBI's taxonomy places the organism in Eukaryota, Viridiplantae, Streptophyta, Magnoliopsida, Cucurbitales, Cucurbitaceae.
UUCUACCCAUCGCGCGCCUCCUACCCUAAAUUUUCUUUAAUUUCUUGUCUCUGUUGUAUUUCCAUCGUGGUUUCGCCGAGGUGUGGUUGCGCCGAUUUUCGUCGAACAUCGAUUUGUCUUGUCGAACGUCACUCCGUUGAACGUCUUGCCGAACGUCGUUUGGUGGUCGCGCCGUUUAGUGGUUGUGGCCGACGUCAUCUUCCGUCUUCGACCGUAUUGAGUUCGCUGUCCACUGGGCUUAUCAUCCGGUCGUCUCACAUUAAUUUGUCGAGGGAGCUUUUUGCUGGCACUCCUAGGAAGCUUGUUGUCGUAGUAGGCAUUGCCCUCAUUGCUGUUUAUCUUUAUGCUUCUAAUUUUCCGAAGACCAUUCAGGAGUUGCAUCGUUCUAAGAAGAACGAUGACGAUGUACUUGGAGUUUUGAAGCCUAGUUGGAGUUUCCCCUUUAUUUCCAAUCGAAGUUGGGUGAGAUUUCCAGCUUAAGUUGGGUAGGACUGUUCGUGUAAAUAAGGAUGAUUUGGGUGUAAGAUUUACUAUGUACUUGGAGUUUUGAAGCCUAGUAAAUUGAUUUCUGCCUCUUUAAAGUCUGAUUCAUCAGUCGUAUUUUCUAUGCGGGGAGAUAUCUAUCCAGAUGGGCUGGUUAUGUUGGAGAAUACGUUGAAUUAAUUUUGUACAAGCUACUUGUUGAAAUGGACAUUUACAUAAGAGAACAAGAGAAAGAUCGGUUGACCCACUGAGUCUUAUUUACAGCGAACCAUGUGUAGUAUACUGUGAAAAGCUAUAUACUUGUGGUGCUUGACAUAUUUUAAAUACUUUAUAGAUAGUAGAAGUUCUUCGCACGAGCUACCUGGGUCCCGGCUACUCACAAGUAGUUUAUUUAAGUCUUGCACCAAUAUCCGAUCGAUCUAAUGUAGUGAUGAAGCUACCAAGAAAGUGAUUGGUAUUGGUUAAUGACAAGAUUUGUUGUAAUUUUGUUAUUCAUGACAAUACCUUGUUAUAUUUAGUUUCUUUGUAAAAAUAUAUUAUCAAGAUUUAGUUUCUAUUUUGCUUGUAUUUGUCCAUUUACGGAUAUUUGAUAGAUUUCGUGUACUUAGUUUCUUUGUAAAAACGUUAUCUAUGUUAUUGUUAUAUUUGAAAGUUCUUAUUUCUAUGUGUA